UACGAAGGGGGCUAGCGUUGUUCGGAAUCACUGGGCGUAAAGCGCACGUAGGCGGCCUGUUAAGUCGGAUGUGAAAGCCCCGGGCUCAACCCGGGAAGUGCAUACGAAACUGGCAGGCUUGAAUAUGGAAGAGGGUCGCGGAAUUCCCGGUGUAGAGGUGAAAUUCGUAGAUAUCGGGAGGAACACCAGUGGCGAAGGCGGCGACCUGGGCCAAUAUUGACGCUGAGGCGCGAAAGCGUGGGGAGCAAACAGG
RNAcentral lists this ribosomal RNA (253 nucleotides) under uncultured bacterium. RNAcentral's name for it is "partial 16S ribosomal RNA". It matches the Rfam family "Bacterial small subunit ribosomal RNA", at positions 524 to 776 of the family's 1533-position model. The record is from RNAcentral.